Molecule: ribosomal RNA, 472 nt
Filed under: uncultured bacterium
Lineage: Bacteria
Description: partial 16S ribosomal RNA
Rfam family: Bacterial small subunit ribosomal RNA
Source: RNAcentral
GACGAACGCUGGCGGCGUGCUUAACACAUGCAAGUCGAACGCUGAAGCUUGGUGCUUGCACUGGGUGGAUGAGUGGCGAACGGGUGGGUACUACGUGAGUAACCUGCCCUCGACUCUGGGAUAAGCCUGGGAAACUGGGUCUAAUACUGGAUACGACAUGUCACCGCAUGGUGGUGUGUGGAAAGGGUUUUACUGGUUUUGGAUGGGCUCACGGCCUAUCAGCUUGUUGGUGGGGUAAUGGCUCACCAAGGCGACGACGGGUAGCCGGCCUGAGAGGGUGACCGGCCACACUGGGACUGAGACACGGCCCAGACGCCUACGGGAGGCAGCAGUGGGGAAGAGUGCACAAGGGGCGGAAGCCAGAUGCAGCGACGCCGCGUGAGGGAUGACGGCCUGCGGGUUGUAAACCUCUUUCAGCACGGAAGAAACGAAAGUGACGGUACGUGCAGAAGAAGCGCCGGCUAACUACGUG